CAGCAGCCACGGUAAUACGUAGGGUGCAAGCGUUAAUCGGAAUUACUGGGCGUAAAGCGUGCGCAGGCGGUUAUAUAAGACAGAUGUGAAAUCCCCGGGCUCAACCUGGGAACUGCAUUUGUGACUGUAUAGCUAGAGUACGGCAGAGGGGGAUGGAAUUCCGCGUGUAGCAGUGAAAUGCGUAGAUAUGCGGAGGAACACUGAUGGCGAAGGCAAUCCCCUGGGCCUGUACUGACGCUCAUGCACGAAAGCGUGGGGAGCAAACAGGAUUAGAUACCCCGGUAGUCCCUGUCUCUUAUAC
RNAcentral lists this ribosomal RNA (301 nucleotides) under uncultured bacterium. Its description in RNAcentral is "partial 16S ribosomal RNA". It matches the Rfam family "Bacterial small subunit ribosomal RNA", at positions 509 to 807 of the family's 1533-position model. The record is from RNAcentral.